UCCUUGUUAGUAUAGUGGUUAGUAUUUCCGCCUGUCAUCACCAUGACCGCCCGCGGGAGACCGGGGUUCAAUUCCCCGACAAGGAG
Molecule: transfer RNA, 86 nt
Filed under: Sphaerosporella brunnea
Lineage: Eukaryota; Fungi; Ascomycota; Pezizomycetes; Pezizales; Pyronemataceae
Rfam family: tRNA
About the family: Transfer RNA (tRNA) molecules are approximately 80 nucleotides in length. Their secondary structure includes four short double-helical elements and three loops (D, anti-codon, and T loops). Further hydrogen bonds mediate the characteristic L-shaped molecular structure. tRNAs have two regions of fundamental functional importance: the anti-codon, which is responsible for specific mRNA codon recognition, and the 3' end, to which the tRNAs corresponding amino acid is attached (by aminoacyl-tRNA synthetases). tRNAs cope with the degeneracy of the genetic code in two manners: having more than one tRNA (with a specific anti-codon) for a particular amino acid; and 'wobble' base-pairing, i.e. permitting non-standard base-pairing at the 3rd anti-codon position.
Source: Rfam by way of RNAcentral